RNAcentral lists this long non-coding RNA (1245 nucleotides) under Capra hircus (goat). Its description in RNAcentral is "lncRNA (ENSCHIG00010012636.1)". Lineage: Eukaryota; Metazoa; Chordata; Mammalia; Artiodactyla; Bovidae. The record is from RNAcentral.
AAGGCAGGAGAAGAAGGAGACGACAGAGGAUGAGAUGGUUGGAUGGCAUCUUGAUUCAAUGGACGUGAGUUUGAGCAAAUUCUGGGAGACAGUGAAGGACAGGGAAGACUGCUGUGCUGCAGUCCAUGGGGUCGUAAAGAGUCGGACACGACUUAGGGACUGAACAACAAUAAGCAUUCUACACAUAUUUACUUAUUUUAUUCUUUUCACCAUCCUAUGAAGUACAUGUUACAAUUAGCUCCAUUUUAUAGACCAAGGCACAGAACUCUGUAAGCAACAUGGCCAGGGGCACACAGUAAUCUAUAAGGCCAGGCAGACUCCUGAAAUUCAUGCUAGUGAUUCAUGCUAAUGACUCAUACCACGACCUGUUUCUCCAACCACCAGGACAUCCUGCCUCCCAGCCUUGAGCUCUUGAUUCUGGAUGGUUCUGGGACUCUGGAAGGCCAGGCAGCCAUUGGGAGCCAGGGUUUUUCCAAGAGAGUGCCUCCUCCCACCUCAGGGAAAUGGCAGGCAGGACCUAGACUGUGUUUCCGAGUGUGGAUGUGAGUGUGCACGUGUGCACCUCAGGCUGGGCAGCAUCAGGGCGUGCAUGCAGCUGAUUUAUAACCCUCAGAGAAAACAGAAUUGCAAAGCUCACUCACAAAUCUUCCCUAUCGAGGGACUUGUGACAGGCAGACAUGCAGUGAAUUCCCAAGAACAGGCAGGCCUCCCUGCAGCCUCUGCUCCUGAGAUGAGUCCAGGUGACCUGGCCACCUGUGGGUCAGCUCCACAGAGGUCCAGGCCAGUGGUGGCCAGUGGACAGCCGGCUCAGCCCUGGGAGUGGUCACUGACCUGGGGUGGGGGACCUGUUUCAGUGUAUCAGAAAUGCUGGCUCCAGAGUGACCCGGCCCCUGAGGAAGCAACCCCAGACACAGGUUACCCAUCCUCUACCCUCUGGCAGGUCCCACCCCACAGCCAGCCCUUAUACUCUGGUCCUCACUGCUCAGAAGUUUGGGAUCAGGACCCUUAGCAACUACAAAACUGGACACUAGCGAUGUCUCUUGACUCAUACCACGUGCUUUUGUACUGUACUAAAUUUUUAAGGUUUGUCUCAUUUGAGCACAUGUCACAUGCAGAGGCUGGAGAAGUCUCUUGAGAGUCCCUUGAACAGCAAGGAGAUCAAACCAGUCAAUCUGAAAGGAAAUCAACCAUGAACACUCAUUGGAAGGGCUGAUGCUGAAGCUGAAGCUCCAAUACUUUGGCCAC